This 253-nucleotide ribosomal RNA is filed under the name uncultured bacterium. Its description in RNAcentral is "partial 16S ribosomal RNA". It matches the Rfam family "Bacterial small subunit ribosomal RNA", at positions 524 to 776 of the family's 1533-position model. The record is from RNAcentral.
CACGUAGGGUGCGAGCGUUGUCCGGAAUUAUUGGGCGUGAAGAGCUCGUAGGUGGUUUGUCGCGUUGUUCGUGAAAACUCACAGCUCAACUGUGGGCGUGCGGGCGAUACGGGCAGACUUGAGUACUGCAGGGGAGACUGGAAUUCCUGGUGUAGCGGUGGAAUGCGCAGAUAUCAGGAGGAACACCGGUGGCGAAGGCGGGUCUCUGGGCAGUAACUGACGCUGAGGAGCGAAAGCGUGGGGAGCGAACAGG